Callithrix jacchus (white-tufted-ear marmoset) is the source of this 101-nucleotide Y RNA. It matches the Rfam family "Y RNA". Rfam says of the family: Y RNAs are components of the Ro ribonucleoprotein particle (Ro RNP), in association with Ro60 and La proteins. The Y RNAs and Ro60 and La proteins are well conserved, but the function of the Ro RNP is not known. In humans the RNA component can be one of four small RNAs -- hY1, hY3, hY4 and hY5. Lineage: Eukaryota; Metazoa; Chordata; Mammalia; Primates; Cebidae. The record is from Ensembl.
GGCUGGUCCAAGUGCAGUGGUGUUUACAACUAAUUGAUCACACCACUUACAGAUUUCUUUGUUCCUUCUCCACUCCCACUGCUUCACUUGACUGGCCUUAA